GCAAGUCGAGCGGAAACGGAACUAGCUUGCUAGUAGACGUCGAGCGGCGGACGGGUGAGUAACGCGUAGGAAUGUACCCUAUAGUGGGGGAUAGCCCGGGGAAACCCGGAUUAAUACCGCAUACGUCUUCGGAUGAAAGGUGGCCUCUAUUUAUAGGCUAUUGCUAUAGGAUCAGCCUGCGUAAGAUUAGCUUGUUGGUGAGGUAAAGGCUCACCAAGGCAACGAUCUUUAGCUGGUUUGAGAGGAUGAUC
Molecule: ribosomal RNA, 251 nt
Filed under: uncultured bacterium
Lineage: Bacteria
Description: partial 16S ribosomal RNA
Rfam family: Bacterial small subunit ribosomal RNA
Source: RNAcentral